UAAAGGCAAAAGAGAGCUUGAUUGCAAGACAUACAGGUCGAGCAAGGAUGAAAAUCGGACUUAGUGAUCCGGUGGUUCUGCGUGGAAGGGCCAUCGCUCAACGGAUAAAAGCUACCCUGGGGAUAACAGGCUUAUCUCCCCCAAGAGUCCACAUCGACGGGGAGGUUUGGCACCUCGAUGUCGGCUCAUCACAUCCUGGGGCUGUAGUAGGUCCCAAGGGUUGGGCUGUUCGCCCAUUAAAGUGGUACGCGAGCUGGGUUCAGAACGUCGUGAGACAGUUCGGUCCCUAUCCGUCGCAGGCGUAGGAAAUUUGAGAAGACCUGUCCUUAGUACGAGAGGACCGGGAUGGACGUACCUCUGGUGUACCAGUUGUCCUGCCAAGGGCAUGGCUGGGUAGCUAUGUACGGAAUGGAUAAGCGCUGAAAGCAUCUAAGCGCGAAGUCAACUUCAAGAUAAGAUUUCCCACCGCAAGGGUAAGACCCCAGAAAGACUAUCUGGUUGAUAGGUCGAAGGUGUAAGUGCAGCAAUGUAUUUAGCUUAUCGAUACUAAUAGGUCGAGGACUUGACCAAU
Molecule: ribosomal RNA, 571 nt
Filed under: Clostridioides difficile
Lineage: Bacteria; Bacillati; Bacillota; Clostridia; Peptostreptococcales; Peptostreptococcaceae
Description: partial 23S ribosomal RNA
Rfam family: Bacterial large subunit ribosomal RNA
Source: RNAcentral